CUUGGAGAAGUUUGGGACAAACACUACGUUCAGGGCAUUCCUUGGCAUCACCUCAGUUCCAGGAUCAGUGUGGCAGGAGGUUCAGCCUUGCUGCAUUGCUGAUUCUGAAGGGCCAGUGCUCCAUGGCACUGCCUGUGUCUCUGCACAUGGCCCUGGGUGAUGAGCUCCAGACACGGGAUAAGGAGGAGGAGCCACAGCCAAGUCUUGAUUUCUCAGACAGGUUCCUGAUGAUGGGAAUGAAGCACAAGCUCCACUGCUCUGCAGGGUGAAGCCCAGGGAUGGCUGUGCUGUACAGACCCCAGAGGCUUAGGUCAUGAAGAGGCCAGCCUGACCCUCCCACAUGUGAGUUCAUUGUGUCGUUGGAGUCUGUGGUGCUUUCUUCCCCUCCCUAGAACCAUUCCAGGAGACUCGCUUGAAAAAACAGACUUGAGAAGGCGACCAAAAGGGAAAGAACAAAUCAAAACACCCCUCCAGAACUUCCAGCUGAAGGAAAAGACUGAGAAACUCAGCAGCACCAGCCUGUUACAGAUCUGCAGGGAAUCACAAGGUGGACUGCAAGCUGUCUCUCCAGCCCAGCUGGUUUCCUGACAAUGAGCAGGACGUACACACUGAUGGCAGGCCCAAACCUGUGGCAGAGCUC
Molecule: non-coding RNA, 640 nt
Organism: Zonotrichia albicollis (white-throated sparrow)
Lineage: Eukaryota; Metazoa; Chordata; Aves; Passeriformes; Passerellidae
Source: RefSeq, a predicted model, not a curated record